RNAcentral lists this ribosomal RNA (493 nucleotides) under uncultured bacterium. RNAcentral describes it as "partial 16S ribosomal RNA". It matches the Rfam family "Bacterial small subunit ribosomal RNA", at positions 27 to 507 of the family's 1533-position model. The record is from RNAcentral.
GAGUGAACGCUGGCGGUAGGCCUAACACAUGCAAGUCGAACGGCAGCACAGUAAGAGCUUGCUCUUACGGGUGGCGAGUGGCGGACGGGUGAGGAAUACAUCGGAAUCUACUUUUUCGUGGGGGAUAACGUAGGGAAACUUACGCUAAUACCGCAUACGACCUACGGGUGAAAGCAGGGGAUCUUCGGACCUUGCGCGAUUGAAUGAGCCGAUGUCGGAUUAGCUAGUUGGCGGGGUAAAGGCCCACCAAGGCGACGAUCCGUAGCUGGUCUGAGAGGAUGAUCAGCCACACUGGAACUGAGACACGGUCCAGACUCCUACGGGAGGCAGCAGUGGGGAAUAUUGGACAAUGGGCGCAAGCCUGAUCCAGCCAUACCGCGUGGGCGAAGAAGGCCUUCGGGUUGUAAAGCCCUUUUGUUGGGAAAGAAAAGCAGCAGGUUAAUACCCCGCUGUUCUGACGGUACCCAAAGAAUAAGCACCGGCUAACUUCGUG